This 77-nucleotide transfer RNA is filed under the name Helicobacter pylori. RNAcentral's name for it is "tRNA-Gly". It matches the Rfam family "tRNA". From Rfam's summary of the family: Transfer RNA (tRNA) molecules are approximately 80 nucleotides in length. Lineage: Bacteria; Pseudomonadati; Campylobacterota; Epsilonproteobacteria; Campylobacterales; Helicobacteraceae. The record is from RNAcentral.
GCGGGAAUAGCUCAGUUGGCUAGAGCAUCAGUCUUCCAAGCUGAGGGUCGCGGGUUCGAGUCCCGUUUCCCGCUCCA